UAUGUCCUGUGAGCUUAGGGGUGCUACAGGUUGACCACUGCAGCAGUAAAGAUGACUCUGAAGAAUGGCAUGGGAUGGAUCCUUUCGAAUGCACUUGAGCAGCGGUCUCCAACCACAGGGCCACAGAGCUGGAGGUGAGCAGCAGCUGGAUCUACCAUGAACGACUUCUGAAUCCAGGAAGAGAGACUGACUGGGCAACAUGUUAUUCAGGGUCUCCCUCUGUUGUCCAAGGCUGGAGUGUAGUAGUGCUAUCACAGCUGACUG
RNAcentral lists this long non-coding RNA (264 nucleotides) under Pongo abelii (Sumatran orangutan). RNAcentral's name for it is "lincRNA". The record is from RNAcentral. Lineage: Eukaryota; Metazoa; Chordata; Mammalia; Primates; Hominidae.